GGCUCGUUGGUCCAGUGGUAUAAUGCUCGCUUCAGAUUUGAGAAGAGAAACCAAAUAAAACCCACCUUGCAUGGCUUGGUGGUCUAGGGGUAUAAUGCUUGCUUCGGGUUUGAGAGGUCCCGGGUUCAAAUCCCGGAUGAGCCC
Danionella cerebrum is the source of this 144-nucleotide non-coding RNA. NCBI's taxonomy places the organism in Eukaryota, Metazoa, Chordata, Actinopteri, Cypriniformes, Danionidae. The record is from the annotation of a GenBank genome assembly.